Molecule: ribosomal RNA, 1008 nt
Filed under: Listeria monocytogenes
Lineage: Bacteria; Bacillati; Bacillota; Bacilli; Caryophanales; Listeriaceae
Description: partial 23S ribosomal RNA
Rfam family: Bacterial large subunit ribosomal RNA
Source: RNAcentral
GGUUAAGUUAGAAAGGGCGCACGGUGGAUGCCUUGGCACUAGGAGCCGAAGAAGGACGGGACUAACACCGAUAUGCUUUGGGGAGCUGUACGUAAGCGUUGAUCCAGAGAUUUCCGAAUGGGGGAACCCACUAUCUUUAGUCGGAUAGUAUCCUUACGUGAAUACAUAGCGUGAGGAAGGCAGACCCAGGGAACUGAAACAUCUAAGUACCUGGAGGAAGAGAAAGAAAAAUCGAUUUCCUGAGUAGCGGCGAGCGAAACGGAAAGAGCCCAAACCAAGAAGCUUGCUUCUUGGGGUUGUAGGACACUCUAUACGGAGUUACAAAAGAAAGUUAUAAAUGAAGCGGUCUGGAAAGGCCCGCCAAAGACGGUAACAGCCCGGUAGUUGAAAUGGCUUUCCCUCCAGAGUGGAUCCUGAGUACGGCGGAACACGUGAAAUUCCGUCGGAAUCCGGGAGGACCAUCUCCCAAGGCUAAAUACUCCCUAGUGACCGAUAGUGAACCAGUACCGUGAGGGAAAGGUGAAAAGCACCCCGGAAGGGGAGUGAAACAGUUCCUGAAACCGUGUGCCUACAAGUAGUUAGAGCCCGUUAAUGGGUGAUAGCGUGCCUUUUGUAGAAUGAACCGGCGAGUUACGAUUUGUUGCAAGGUUAAGCGGAAAAAGCGGAGCCGUAGCGAAAGCGAGUCUGAAUAGGGCGCAUAAGUAACAGGUCGUAGACCCGAAACCAGGUGAUCUACCCAUGUCCAGGAUGAAGGUAAGGUAAUACUUACUGGAGGUCCGAACCCACGCACGUUGAAAAGUGCGGGGAUGAGGUGUGGGUAGCGGAGAAAUUCCAAUCGAACUUGGAGAUAGCUGGUUCUCUCCGAAAUAGCUUUAGGGCUAGCCUCGAGGUAAAGAGUCAUGGAGGUAGAGCACUGUUUGGACUAGGGGCCCUUCUCGGGUUACCGAAUUCAGAUAAACUCCGAAUGCCAUGUACUUAUACUCGGGAGUCAGACUGCGAGUGAUAAGA